Molecule: transfer RNA, 72 nt
Filed under: Phrynosoma platyrhinos (Desert horned lizard)
Lineage: Eukaryota; Metazoa; Chordata; Lepidosauria; Squamata; Phrynosomatidae
Description: tRNA-OTHER
Source: RNAcentral
ACCAGUGUGGUAUAGUGGUUUGAGCAUUAGACUAUAACUCUGGAGACCAGGGUUUGAAUCUUGGCUCAGCUA